AGAGAGUAAAGAAUAUACUGUAAAUUCUCUACUUCUGUUCAUUCCCAAGGAUAUAAGAUAUGGUUGAGAAUUAAAGGUCAAAAGAGACUAAAACAGAAACAGCAAUGAUGAGAAUGUACAGAGACACCCUAUUUUAGACUCAUUUACUCUCCUCUCUCUCUUAUAAAAGUCUGCAUAUAGCCGACCCUAUUCCCUUAAAAUCCAACUAAAAAUAAAUGCACGUACCACAAAAUAAUAAUAAAACUAUAAUAAUAUAAAAGAAAAAGAGAUAAACAGAAAUAAAACCUUGUGAUUUACGUUAUCCUUAUAACUUCAGCCUGCUGCUUGAAUAUAUGUCCUUGACUUUUUGUUUCCUCUUAAUUCAUUAACUGAAUUUAUUAGCCUUCUUCUGCAAAAAAAAAAAGACCAACAUUAUUAUUUUCUAUACUGUAGGUAAUCUUGAAUACUGUCUGGUUUAAAAAAUAUUAUUUUCUUUGUUAGUUUGAUUCGGUACAGAGUUUAAAAAAAAAACUUUUUAAAUCUGUGAUCUGAAAAGCUUAGGGGCUAAAAAAUUUGUGGGAUAAUGACAUUUAUAUGCCUAUAAAAGUUUUUUAUGAAUAAAUGGAUAAAAUGAAAGAGUUUAAAGUCGAAUUAUUUUUAAAUUUAAAAAUAUUUUAUUUGUUUUGAAAUAUACUAAAAAGAAAAGUAACUCAUGAAAUGAAGGGAGUAUAAAAUAACUUAAUUUCUAUAUACUGAAUUUAAGAGAAAAAAAAUUACAUAAUCAGAUCACUUAAAUGUAUUACAUGUAGUCGUCCAUAAUAGACGAGAUCAGUAUAAUCAGUAAUCAAAAAAAUAAGACAGAUAACAUACUACAACAUCAUAAUACGAUGUAAUGAUAGUGUGAAAAUUCUUUACUAUCUGUGCAUAUAAGUUGAACCAAAAAAUUAAAACAAAUCAUAUGCAGAUUUGACCUGAAGUGAAAUUUAUAAAAUGGGGUAAGAAAAAACUUUGACUUAGAAGCAAAAGGAGCAGUUGGAGCAGUAAAAUCAAACGUAAGAAGUAGAAAAGACAUGUAAUAAUAAAACAUAAAUAAUGUAAAUUUGAUCUUUGAAUAGUUACCUCAAGAAUUCAAGAUUUGGUUUCUAACAACAUAAGAAGAGCUAGAGCUAGAAAUUUUCAGUUAAAAUGAGUAGAAGAAAGUGUAGAAGAAGCUUGAAUAUAAUAGUGAAACCAAAUAGUCCAAGAUUUGAUUUUUUUAGAAAAGAACAAACACCAAGAAAAAGCAAGCAAAAGAGAGUUCAAGAAUUAUCUUUUAUGAAACAGAGAAGAGCAAAACGAAACCUUUUUACAAACGAUUCUUUGCUGGAAAAUGUGAAUCUUGAAAGUGUGUUUUGGCUGACGAGAAAAGCAAAAGGAAUGAAGGAGAUAGGAGUUUAUAGAAAUGAAGCACCAACACAUACCUCAAGGGGAAUAAAUAGAG
RNAcentral lists this long non-coding RNA (1459 nucleotides) under Nicotiana benthamiana. RNAcentral describes it as "long non-coding RNA (NBEN_LNC041990)". The record is from RNAcentral. Lineage: Eukaryota; Viridiplantae; Streptophyta; Magnoliopsida; Solanales; Solanaceae.